UCCACAUUAACACACCCUAAUCCAGCCACCUUUGAAACUCCCCACCUAUGACCACAUGAGUCUUUGGGGGCACCUGUAUACAAGCCAUAGCAACAUACAACUGUUUUUGUUUUGCUUGCUUGCUUGCAUUUUCUUUCUUUCUUUCUUUCCUUCUUUCUUUCUUUCUUUCUUUCUUUCUUUCUUUCACUUUGCUUUUUUGAGACAGGGUCUCACUAUGUAAUUUAGGCUGACCUUGUCUUGAACUCAUGGUGAUCCUCUUCCAUCACCUUCCAAGUGCUGGGAUUACAGGCUUGCACCGCCCACACCAGGCAGUUCUGUUCUCUUUUACUGGGCUUUAAUGUGGAAAUCUAAUCUGAAUCAUAAAUAAUAUAUGCACAGAUAUAAGCAGCAGCUGCAAAAGGCACUUCAACCACUUCUAGCUUAUCUUUCAUCUGUUGGCUCAUGGGCUUUAUGCGAAGUCUCACCGUGGCAUAGCACUGCUUUGCUUGAGCAGUUUCUCUUGACAAGGGUCUUCACUACUUUAUCAUUGUUAUUAUUGUGUCUCAGUCACAACAGAUUCAGGACUCCCAUACGUGCAAAUGUCUUGUAGCCUGGUGCCAAGAGCAGACCUCAGGCCCUAAAGAUCAUGUGAUUAGGACAAUGGAAAAACUAGCAUUUAGUUUAUUGCUGGCAUUUUAAAAAAUUUGCUAUAUAAUUAAAGGACCUCUUAAAUGUCUUAAAAUAUGCAUAUUGACAGAAAACAUAAAUUUUUAAAUACUAAAUAUUUUUUAUUGGUGAUGGCCAUCAAGAACAAAGCCCAAAGACUUCCAGUGGAAAAAGUGAACUGUUUCCCUUUUAGGUGGAUCAAAAGGAACCCUAAUAUCUCUUUCAUUAGCAUAUUAAAGUAGUAGCAGCGUUGAAUGUCUGAAAGGAAAAGUGCACCCAUUUAUGUUAGCAGCACUCUAGGUGAACAUCAGAGCUGUUACAUGGACCCAGGGGACUCUCUGGUGCUAGGAUCCAAGACUUGUUGAACUGGAAGGGAGCUAAAAGUUCUACCUCUCCGAGAGCAGAAGUCCUUUCUAUGAGAAUAUGAAUUGAAUUCUCUUUUCUGUUAUGCUCUGAUGGAGUCUGUGUGUACUUUGAUGUGCCCAUGACGGCUGACUGAGCCCCUAACUGUUUCAAAUAGCUUCAGGGUGUGUGUGGUCAUUGUUUGAGGAGAGAAGGAGGGAGUCCUGGCUACAAAAUAUAAUUGUGACGGUCCUGAUCAUGAGUCAUUGGGGUCAUUUUGUGGUUGAGAAAUGACACAUUUAUAGCACAAGGAAUAUUUGUUUCCGAAGAUGUGAAGGCAUAAUACAGAGAAGAAAGCAGUUAUAAAGUAGCUAUUUCAGGAACUCUGAGUCUGUCUGGGGUUGGCCAUGGGAUCAUAUCCAUUGCUGUGGAUAUGCUGCUUGGUCCCUGUUUCUUCUAUUUGCCAGACAUUUAUUGAGCACUUACGAUUGUGCUAACUACUGGAGAAUUCAAAGAUAAGGUAGUCUUAGCAUCUGCCGACAACCUAGAAAGAAAUUAUAAUACAGUGUGAUACAUGUGUGUCAAGAGUAUUGUAAAGUGUCAUGGAACUCAGAGUAAGGAGCAGCUGUCCUUGCCUGGAAGACUUGACAGAGAUGUCUGAAAGCCACAUUUGAGCUGGAGUGUAAAGGUUUAGUAAGGUCCAUCGGACAGAGAAGAUGAGAUGUGGCAUCACUGGGCCUGAAUGUAGAAGCAUAGAGCUCUCAGAGGCCACCACCUAUUUAGAAAAUGACAGCUAGUACAGUAAGGCUGAAGUGUUGAGUAUAUGGUGAUAGGAUGACAAAAGAAACAUCUUUGUUGUGCUGAGGGAUUGGUUGGGUUUUGUCUUAUAGGCAGAUAGCAACCUGCAGAGACCAGAAGGUCUUUUCAGAAAAAUCAGACAAAAAACAGGAAGGAAGAUAAACAACAUUAGGAGGCUUCUUGGUAUUACAUGAAGAGCUCGUGGUAUUGGGCCUGGAGAACUAGAUUCCUCUGUCAGAAGAGAUGUUGAAGAGAAGUUGAAGAAUCCAAUUGAAGAUCUUGCAUUAAGUUGUUCAAGUCUCUUUAAAGCAUCCUCCAGUCCUUUGUGUUUAUCAUAACAUUGCCAUUUUUGAAGAGGUCGAGGAAGUUUUACAGAAUGUCCCUCUGGAUUUUGUGCUAUCAUUAGGUUCAGGUGCCUGAGCCUCGGCACUUUCGAGAAUGGGCAGAAACAAGCAGGCUGCAUCAUCAGCCACUUGCUGCAGAUCCCUCUCCUGGUGGGCUCUGAGCUGAAGCAGGCUGGAUGAUAGCAAAGAGGUCCCAUUCCCCACAGGACAGGCCAGCAGAUCCACAAGGGCCUUCACCUGCUCAGCUGGAGAGCCAGUACCACGUGCCUGGAUGCCCUCCCCGCCCGUCCGCACCUCCUGUUUCCUCAUGGAAUCCAGGAUGGCAGUCAGAAACUGUGAAGACAGGGCCCAAGCCUGCUGCCCAGUACGUAUCUGUCCAGUAGCCCAG
Long non-coding RNA from Heterocephalus glaber (naked mole-rat), 2517 nucleotides. RefSeq lists it as uncharacterized. The record is from RefSeq and is a predicted model, not a curated record. NCBI's taxonomy places the organism in Eukaryota, Metazoa, Chordata, Mammalia, Rodentia, Bathyergidae.